GUAGUCCACGCCGUAAACUAUGAUUACUAGGUGUCCGGGAUGUUAACCUCCUGGGUACCGGAGCUCACGCAUUAAGUAAUCCGCCUGGGGAGUACGGUCGCAAGACUAAAACUCAAAGGAAUUGACGGGGGCCCGCACAAGCGGUGGAGUAUGUGGUUUAAUUCGAAGCAACGCGCAGAACCUUACCUGGGCUUAACAUCCACUGACAACCCCAGAGAUGGGGCUUCUCCUUCGGGAGCAGUGAGAUAGGUGCUGCAUGGCUGUCGUCAGCUCGUGUCGUAAGAUGUUGGGUUAAGUCCCGCAACGAGCGCAACCCUUGCCUUUAGUUGCCACCAUUAAGUUGGGCACUCUGAAGGGACUGCCGGUGUUAAACCGGA
RNAcentral lists this ribosomal RNA (377 nucleotides) under uncultured bacterium. Its description in RNAcentral is "bacterial SSU rRNA". It matches the Rfam family "Bacterial small subunit ribosomal RNA", at positions 790 to 1167 of the family's 1533-position model. The record is from RNAcentral.